AACAUCUUCUCAGCUUGUUUCACUGACCUAGAAAGCCAAGCUCCUGAUGAAGGAAGAGGACUUAACUCUAAGCGUACCAGAAGGGCUUGUCAGAUACAGAUGAGGGUCUGGGGGCGGGGGGAGGCAGGGCUGGCACCUGGAGGACACCCACCUGUGCCCUUGCCAGGUGCAGACAAGGCUCAGUGAGCACAUGGCCUCGGGAGCAGCACCCUCUCACAACCGGUAUCCCUCCCUCCCCUGGAGCACACACCUUCUCCUCAGCAACUACAACUGCUAACCACAGCUGUGGGACCAGGCUUCUUUAAAAUGAAAGUGUGGGACCAGAUGGCCUCUACAGUCCUUUCUACUUUUGUAAUUUUCCAAACUACAGUUCUACACAGUACCCUGGUGCCCUGCCUUCUCCCCAUCCCCUCUUGCAGGCUACUUAAAGGAGGUGGCGAAAAGGAGCCAGAAGGUUCAGAAAGCGAGGGAGAGGGCAGAGGAAGCUUAGUGGACUAUUUUGCAAUAACCUCUCCAGAUCUCAGCACAAUUCACUCUACACUGCCUGCAGGAAGGGGAAAAAAAAAAAAGCAAAGUGAAGUUAUCGGCUAAGCAUCAGAGGCACACAUGUUAAUACACACAGGAGGAAAAACACCCUUGCUCCUCCCAUCCGUGGUCACUCCGGCCACUUUAGAGCCCCUUCCAGAACUCCAGCCUCCUUCCCAGGGUUCAACUUGGCCAUCUGUUCACCCAGACCUACCCCUUCUGGAGCUGAGCAAUUUCAGAGUGAGCUGCAGAUUAAGCAAAGCAAACUCUUCUACAAUCACUUAAUCCUCAUGCUACUUGCUAUUAUUGAUUUGUUGUUGCUGUUCAGUCGCUCAGUCAUGUCCAACUCUUUGUGACACCAUGGACUGCAGCACACCAGGCUUUCCUGUCCUUCACCAACUCCCAGAGUAUGCUCAAACUCAUAUCUAUUGAGUCAGUGAUGCCAUUCAACCACUUCAUCCUCUAUCGUCCCCUUCUCCUCCUGCCUUCAAUCUUUCCCAGCAUCAGGGUCUUUUCCAAUGAGUCAGCUCUUCACAUUAGGUAGCCAAAGUAUUGGAGUUUCAGCAUCAGUCCUGCCAAUGAAUAUUC
Long non-coding RNA from Bos taurus (domestic cattle), 1113 nucleotides. The record is from Ensembl. NCBI's taxonomy places the organism in Eukaryota, Metazoa, Chordata, Mammalia, Artiodactyla, Bovidae.